GUGAAUCAUCGAAUCUUUGAACGCAUCUUGCACUCAUUGGAAUUCCAAUGAGUACGCCUGUUUCAGUAUCAAAAACACCCCACAUUCAAAUCUUUUGUUUGAAUGGAACUUGGAGUGACAGUUUCACGACCGUGCUCUUCAAUUAUAUUAGGCCUGAUCUUUGUUUAGACUGCCUGAACUUUUUUUUAAUAUAAAGGAAAGUUUUGACAAAAUAAACUUGUGCUGGGGCCUUUAAAGAACCUUUCUUAAACUUGAUCUGAAAUCAGGCGGGAUUACCCGCUGAACUUAAGCAUAUCAAUA
RNAcentral lists this unclassified non-coding RNA (300 nucleotides) under uncultured Mucor. Its description in RNAcentral is "sequence contains 5.8S rRNA gene, ITS2". The stretch from base 1 to 71 matches the Rfam family "5.8S ribosomal RNA", at positions 84 to 154 of the family's 154-position model. Lineage: Eukaryota; Fungi; Mucoromycota; Mucoromycetes; Mucorales; Mucoraceae. The record is from RNAcentral.